Leptonychotes weddellii (Weddell seal) is the source of this 1719-nucleotide non-coding RNA. NCBI's taxonomy places the organism in Eukaryota, Metazoa, Chordata, Mammalia, Carnivora, Phocidae. The record is from RefSeq and is a predicted model, not a curated record.
CGGCGCCUUCUUCCCGCGAAUCGUGGCUCAGGAGUCCCGCGGGCAGGACGUCGCCCCUGUGUGUCCCCGCUGUGUCCUCACUGCCCCGCCAGGAGCCGGCUUCACUGGCUGCCCCCAGUCACCCCGAGCACGGUGUCCGUCAGGGACUGGGCAGUGCCCUCCGGCCCGUCUUUCACGGGAGAAGCGCUGGACGGAGGAGGACAUGGUGGUUUUCCCGGAGACGCUCUCCUCACCCUUGCGCGCCCCCAGUCCGCCCUCCCUUUCCCUCCGGCCUGGUCCUCAGGGUCGUCGGUCCCUGCUGGGCAGCCGGGCGCACACGCGAGAGCCACACUGCUAUUCUGCAGCAGGAAACAGAAGUACACGGACGGCCACACACGGAGCGUGAGAGGCCCCUUGUUACAGAGGCCAGGGACCAGGCCCUGGGCUUGGGGUUGAAGGUGGGGCCGAGGUGGGGCGCACAGGAAGCAGAGUGGACGGAGCCCAGCGGGCUUGGGGCUGCUCCCCAGGUGGCCCAUGUUCCACCCAGAAGCACGAGGAGGAACCCAGGGUGGACUCUGCAGGUUUCUCCUCCUUCCUCACACGUUUGGUUACUGUUUUCCGCUUUGUUACUGUGUUGUCCUCCUCCCCCGCACUGUGACUUUGUUGCUGGUCUCCCCCAGGGCAGAGGUGUGCCCUUCCAGCCUGGACUCCAGUAGCACCUUUGUCACCACACCCACUCCCCUGGGGAGCCCAAAAUAGCAUGUUGCUCUCUUAAGUCCCUCAGCUGUCCUCUCCCCGGUUCUUUGUGUCCUCAUUGUUUUUCCUUUAUUCACAGGUAAAGUAUUCUUAUUUUUCAGAAAACCAGUGUUCUUUUCUUGGCCAUGCUGUGGGCCCUUGCCUGCAUUUGUCGCCCUGGCAGGAAGAGCCCUGGAGGCCCCAUGGGGUGACAAGCCACUCCCAGAGGGAACCCCACUUUGAGAACCUCUAUGUGAAUUGAAUCUUGGCUCCACUCCCUGUUGACUAUGAAAGUUGAUGAAUGUCUCUUAAGUUUCAGAAGGACAGUAUCAUGAGAACCAUGGUCACCCCCAGGCCACUGCACCUUGAGAGGACAUGGCAGGUGUUUCUCUGAGGCUGCUUCCACAGCCAGGUCUCAAUGAGGCCAUGGAGCCACCCAGGCGGGACUGAAGGGGAUCCUUUUCCACUGAAAUGGAACUAGGUUCUCCACCAGGCCUCUAAGUGGCGCAGAGGACAGAGGAAGACCCCCAGCCUCUCAGCCAGACAUCAGCAGUUCAGAUGCCCCAGACGCAGCGAGAUAAGCCCCCUACCUGCCCGGGGUCGAGCGGAAGCAGUGCCUCUGGGCAGCACAGGCCACGGACUCGUUCGUCCACAGGAGGGGGCCACCUCCUGCAAAUCCGCACAGUGACACGUGGACUGCGCAGUGACCCCAAACCCAGAGCUGAUGGCCGCGGCCUGCACUGAGGAAUGCCAGGGCACCUCUCAUCGGUGAAGGUGGAAAGUCUCACCUGUAAGUCUUCACCAGCUUGUCCGCGUACGCAUACGUGGGUAAGCUGUCAAGAAUCUGCUCCACACAGGCGCCGAUGUGGCUCUCGGGGAUGCCCUGGAUCUGGGCGUACACCACCAGCGUCUCCCGGCCCGUCAUGUGGUUGAACAGGGCGUCAAACUGGGGGCAGUAGCCUACCCACUGCCGCACCUGGGGUUGGAAUGCAGCCCAAGAGGGAG